This is a non-coding RNA of Anas platyrhynchos (mallard), 2439 nucleotides long. Lineage: Eukaryota; Metazoa; Chordata; Aves; Anseriformes; Anatidae. The record is from RefSeq and is a predicted model, not a curated record.
UUUUCUUUAUUUUUGUGUAUGUCUCUCUAUAUGGCUUGAAGUGUAUGGCCAGGCAGCACACAUCCUGCAGCGUUGAUAAAAAAUGCCCUCUGUGGCUCCCCAGCUGCUAUAGAUAGCUUCAUACGCAGGCCGUGGAAACAACCUUACUGGUUGUUUCCAGUACUGUUACUGCUACCAAACCUUUCUGAUGGCUCCGUGCCCUGACUUUUGUUUUCACUGUACAUAGCCCCAGCCUUGACCAACUUCCUCUUGCAGAAUCUGGCACUGCUGGUAGUAGUAGGGCCUGUGACAGCAGACAUAAACCAUCUCUUGGUAGGAAGGCUGCUGUGUAGGUGGUGACCCCAGCAAGCACCAGAGCCUGCUCCAUGCCCUGUGGUGUGCGCUCUUAGCAUGCUUCUCCCCCUGUUCUGGGUGCCCCUUGUCCUUCAUCAGGCCUUAGGGCUUUAGCCCUCACUAUUGCAGGCUUUCACACACCUUGUGUGACUCCAAGUCAUGGUUCCCAAGCUCCAGAACAGGGGGGGUGUUUACAGGUCCCCGUACAAAGCAAAGGAAAACACACUGAUUUUGGCUGUGGCAGAAACCCGAGCAGACGCACAGUAAUAUUUGGGAUAUUACGUGGCAUGUAGUCCCCAGGGAGGGCAGCUUUUUAAGCUAAGGACUCCAUGGGCUAUGAGGAGCAAGCGUUCCCACGAUCUCCCUGCUAUAAAAGGAUAUUAAAUUCUGCAGCAGCUGCUGAUCUGGUAGCCCGUCUGGGCUGGAGCCCCCCUCCUGUCCCCUUCCUGGCUGGCCAGCCUGCUGCAGCUACCCAUGGGCCUGCUUCUGCCUCUGGACAAGCUGAGCCUCGAGCAAGGCAAAGCAAGUGGGGCAACGUGUAAGUUGUGCCUUACAGCUGAACCAGAAGGAAACCCGCUCCCCUCGAUCAGGCUGCUGCAGUGCAGAGGCCUCUUUAAACAUGCCACGGAGAACUGCUUAAGACAUCAAGUCAAAGGAACGAACCUUUAGGAGCUAUAGGGUGGCACAUUAAGCAGCUGUCUGCCCAUGGUUGGGCCCACAGUCCCACCAGGAGGGGCUGUGCUUCUGCAGAUCUGUGUGACAGGACCUUUCUGUGGUGACCAGGUUUGUGGUGCCUCGCUCUGCCCUGCAGAACAUCCUCCAGAGGACCUGCCGAGCUAUCUUACUGCAUGGUCUCAGCUCGUCAUGGUGCUCUGCUUGCACUUGCACUUGGGGAACAAGCCAGAAGCGGGAGGCUUGGCCUCACACAGUCCCUGCCCAGCCCUGGCAUCUGUCUCGCAGCUGGGGCUGGAGCUGCUCUCCCCCGUCCCCUGUGUGCUCCUCACAGCAGGACCAGGGAGCAGGAGAGUGACUGCUCUUCAGUGCUGACCCUUGGCUUUCUGUCAAUACAACCGGAACAUUUUGCCUUGCUGUGACUUCAGACAACCUCCCGCCAGUGGCAUUUUAGGCCUUUAGCUCAGCACUGCCCAUCCCUGUAUACACAUGAGCAAACUACGCUGGUGCUGUAAGCAGGUGGCAGGGCCUGGCCGGGAGGACCUCAGGUGCCUGCGGGACAGGCAAGGAAAGGGACACGGCAACCCUGGCCUGGUGCAAAGUGGGGACGGGCAGCAGGUAUCCAGCAGGCCUCAGGGCCUGCACAGAUGUGCAAAGCCACUCCACCGUGAAACUGAACCCACUGUCAGGAGGGAUUAAAGAUUGGUAAAAGCACAGGGCAGAGUCAUUGAAUGAACACAGGGCACGCUACUCUGUGAAAGGAAAGUUAGCUCCAACCCAACCCUGGCAUAGUUAAGUGUCAGAGCACAGCUGCUGCCUUCAAACCAUGGGCACAAAAAUUGGACGAGCUCUGCAAAGAGAUGUGAUAUGCUCUGAAGGCCAGCUGAGUCUGAAAAGCUUUCAGGGCUCUGCCCCCUCCUCAGUGCCUGCACUGUUUCAGACAUGUCCCCUCCCUAUCACAUGCAAAAUUACUGAAAUAUGCAUCGCUGCAUUUGUAUGCAGAGAUUGGUAGGGCUCAUCUUUCCUGUAUCUUCACCCAAUUUCCAUGUCUCUGAUUUAAUUAGACAAACUCUUUUAAGUAAAUCAAUAGGCUCAGUAAAUUAGCAGGCUCAAGCCUGCUGUUUUACUCAAUAUUUGUUAAAACUCCACAUAUACACAAAAUUCUCGUUACAUUGUCAAACUUGAUUAACUGUAGUUGUAGCAAAAAAUGGCAAUUGCAUUAUAUAUUCAUGGUAUGUAUCAUUAUGUACUUUAGCUGAUUCCUUAUAAAUAUAUAAUAACAUACUCAAUACAUUAAAUAUUAAUAAUAAUCUACGUACUUAACCCAUAUUUCUUAAAUAAGCUUUUUCCCAGGGGUGUGUGAUAUUGUGUUAGAGUCAUAUGGGAAAGUCUAGAUGAAAUCAUACAUAAAAAUAAAUUUUCAUGUGGCAUGGA